Molecule: long non-coding RNA, 3964 nt
Filed under: Mytilus galloprovincialis (Mediterranean mussel)
Lineage: Eukaryota; Metazoa; Mollusca; Bivalvia; Mytilida; Mytilidae
Source: RNAcentral
AACUUUGACAUUAUCUGGAAAAAUAAAUUUGAUAAAAGGAUGUCUUUUUCGCCAUGGCCUGAUAAAUAAAGUAAACAACAAAAUUUAACAUACAAAAGAGUUGUUGCAUUGAACUGAUUAACAGAUUUCUUUAUUUUUUUUAUGUUGCAUUAUUAGAACACCAGCGAUAGCUACCGUUUAUAGUCAAAUCACUUAUGCCUUUACUAUUCACAAGUUUCACCAUCUAAUAAGGGUUUGUUAGUACUCUUUAGUUAACGAAAUAUUUUAUUGAAUUAAAGGAUUACGAAAAUUCAGUUCUUUUUGUACAUUAGUAGCAAAGGAGAAGCAAAGGUAAAAAAGCUAUGUACGCCAGGUUCAUUACAAACUCCAGGAAUCAAACCAAAACAGACAAAGGAAUGAAUCCAAAAUAUAUACAAUGUCUAUACACUUUCAUAUUCACUAAAUGACAAAUUUUGAUGAUAUGCAUGAAAUAACAAAACAGAAAAUAUAUAAAAAGAUAAAUAAUAUCUGGAAUAAAAAACAAAUAAUGCAGUAAAACAUGACAUCCAAAACAAGGUGCUUGUACAAAACAAAUACUUAUUUCAUCUAAAUAAUAAUACCUAAAUGAUUACAUUGAAUUUUCAAAAUGUAACCAAGCAUCAACCUAAAAAAUAGUAGUUUCCUUUUUUCUUCCUAACACUGGGUGUUUAGCAAACAACAUAUUUUGUUUCAAAAGCCAGAUAGUAUUAUAAGUACAGAAACAUUAUAUGAAAUAUAAACUGUUUCCAAUUUUUGGCCCUCCCAGUUUUUAGUUGCUGAUGUUUAUCAAAUAUUCAAAAUGGCAUGCAAAAGAGAGAUAUUUUCUAAAGAGGCAAUGCUCUUAUGUUAACCAAUCACUUAUUGGCAGAAUAACUCAACUGUCACUAAACUAAGUUCUUUUCACUACUGAAAAGAACUGCUGAUUGUGCAGUAAAUCCUAGAUUUAUUUUUGUACAAGUAUCAAGUUUUGAGCAAAUAUCAAUGAUUAGAAAUGAUUAUCAUGAUCAACUAGAAAAGAAUGUUUAUCACAGGUGAAGUGUCAAGAAAUGUCGAGUAUACAGUCAUGUGACUGACAACAACCUUUGUUCAUUACCAAAUAUCAUCUCACUCUUAGACCCAGUAUUAAAGAUGCUAUUAUUUAGCAAUGAUAUUAAAAUGGACUCAAUCAGUAAUAAUACUUUCAAUGGUGAAAAUAUUCAAAAGAGUGCAUAAAUAUCUCUUCUUGCAAAUCUCAGGAACAAAGUUUUUUUCACGUAUUUUGUCAGGUAGAUUAGGACGUAUAUGAAUUGUACGAAUAUCCUUAUUUUAAACCAAACUUCCCCAUUUUACUGUUACUAUUGAAGUAAUCUCAUCAGUUAUUUCUUUACAUCUAACUUAAAUAGUUAUGCAGCAAAUAAAACUUCUAAAGAUUAACAAAAUGUCAUAAAUGGUAGAUUCCUUUUAGAACCUGUACAUCAAAUUGGAUGUCAUAUAUGGCUGAUAUUUUGAUCAAUAUAGCCCAUAACUCAAUAUGAUAAUUUUGCAUUGUAUAUUGUUAUAACUUGAAUCUGAAGCACGUAAAUGAUGUUAUACAUGUAAUGAAUGAAAUGAAAAACAGAUCUAACUUGAAAUAAAAAAAAGAAAGAAGGAAAAAAGAAAAGCAAAGUAUCAAAAUGAAAGUAAUAAUGUAUUUUUCGCAAUUUUACUUUACUAUAAAACCAGGAAAAGUAAGCAACAGAAGAAAAAAAAGUACAAAAAGAUUGUCAAAAAUUCACCAUUUGUUAUCAUUAUCUAUUAUUAAUUCAAAGGUUUUAACUGUAAAUGACUUUAAAUAAGAUGAUAACUUAAAAGAUUCCCCUCCUAGAAACAACUAUAUAUGUCUAAAUUCAACUUUCAGCUUUUCUACAAAUUUUGAAAAGGUCGGGACCAAAUAUAAUUAGGAUGCUUGCUGACCAGUAAUUAAAUUACUUUGGUAAGUCUGCAUGUUCUGAAUGACGGUCAACAAAUUGUAGAGACUUAAACAAUGAAAUAUAAGACUCUAGUGACAUGUAAAGUUUGUCCCUUCUUAUAUACUAAUGAGCUAGUGAUCUAUUCUUGAGUACUCUAAUGAUUCUAAAGAAUGAACCACUGUUGCCACUAAAGUAAAAGUAUAUAUAAACUAAAAUCAUUUCCCUGAGAACUGAACUAGUGUGACAAGAAAUGGAAAACAGUUUAGCAGUUGGACAUACUAAAUAAACUAAAUUAAGCCCAAAUGUGUUUACCCUAAGUAAAAAAUUAAAGGGAAACUGAAAUCAAAUAUAUUAUCAUCUUCCACCAAAUAAUUUGCCAGUAAUUUUUUUUAUUGUACAUUUUCUCAUCUAUAAAAGCAAAUAUGACAGUAAAAUUAACAUAAGAAGCAAAUUAAAAAUGACCAAAGCUUUGAUGCGUAAAUAAAUAUUUCAAUAAAAAUGUACACCUAACAUAAACAUUGAGAAUUGAUAUAAAGAACUGCAUAACUCUCAUAAAAUGUUUGCCCUAUAAGAACUAAAUUAACAGUCCAGAUACAAAUACAAACUAUGUAUGAUUCGGUUCUAGUUUCAAAAAAUAAUGUAAAUGAAAGCGGAACGAAAUUUCUGUUUAUUCAACAAUGCAUAACAUUUCAGGAGAUUUAAGAUUUCAUUUUCCCCAUAGUCCCCAUAGAUUUUUUACAUACAAAAUUUCAUUUCAGGUGGCUCAUAUUAUGACUUUUUUAUGCAUGCAAGUCUGCAUUUAAUAGCUUUAUUAUGGAUUCUAUAGUGGAAUCUUCAUGAAAAAGUUUAAGCUGACCGAUGCCACUAGUUUAGAUUUGCAUCUAAAUAAAAGAAUUUUUCAAAGACAAAAUAUUAAUCCAAUCUGUGGUAGCUUUUGGUUUGUGUGGAAAUAAAUCACAACUUUUCAAGAUUAAGGCUAAUAAUUAAGAUUGGACAUGUAGUUUUGAGUAGGUUUUUGCAAAUGAUUAACAAUGUAGCAUGCGCAUCAAGUGAUUGAAACAUUUUUACUGAGUACUUGUUAAUGCGGACAACCUUAAAAAUCUAUUGAUUUUUAUUAUGCAUAUGACAUAUGGACUACAUGUAAAAUCCUCCCCUAUGAAAACAGAGACAGUGUAAUACUUGGAAAGUAUAAAGUUAUUUGGCAGGGAUGUAUUUUCCCUAUAAUUUAAUUACACCUUGAAAACAUUUUUAAAUUUGAACAAUAUAUAUGCUGAUUUAACACCAUUGUGUAGAUUAUUGUAAUAUAUUUACAUAAAAAGCAUUAACUUACAGGUAACAGAGUUAGAUAAGUCUGCAGAAAUUGACCUUCUAGUAUCUCAACAUUUGGUCACUGAAAUCUCACAUUAAUUCUAAUGAGCCAGAUAUCUGUUGCUUAUUUUACACAGAAAAUCUACCAAUAACUCCAGACAAUACCCCUAUCUUAUUAUUGAUAUAAUAUACCAAAUAGGAAAUGUGACAAGAGAACUUAAUAGUAACUGUACAUUCAUACUGAACACUUCAGACAUACUGAACUUGAAGAAUACCAAUAGAAUACUACAACCAGAUGCUCCACAGGGCGCAGCUUUAUACGACUGCAAAGGUUGAACCCUGGACGGUUGGGGCAAGUAUGGACACAACAUUCAAGCUGGAUACAGCUCUAAAUUUGGAUUGUGAUUAAAUAGUUGACACAGCAUAGGUUUCUGACACAGAAUGAAUGUGGUCUAAUGAACUUAAAAUUUGUUUUUUGCCUUUGAGCAAUUCACUAUGCUGUUGAAUAUUAAUCCUCUCAAAAAAAUGUUUGAAGAAAUUUUCUUUUUAUUUAUGAAAUCUGAAAUGAGAAAAAUUUACCCCCCCUUUUUUUUUCACAUCCCCCUUUCCCUUUUUUCCAAAACUGAUCUCAAUUCAAAUUUCUAAUGGAGUUUGCAACAAUAACUACUCAUUUUAAAUACAUCAUAAAUAUUAAAAUGUAACAAAAGGUG